RNAcentral lists this ribosomal RNA (419 nucleotides) under uncultured eukaryote. RNAcentral describes it as "SSU rRNA". It matches the Rfam family "Eukaryotic small subunit ribosomal RNA", at positions 592 to 1018 of the family's 1831-position model. The record is from RNAcentral.
CAAUAGCGUAUAUUAAAGUUGUUGCGGUUAAAAAGCUCGUAGUUGGAUUUCUGCUGAGGACGAUCGGUCCGCCCUCUGGGUGAGCAUUGACUCGGCCUUGGCAUCUUCUUGGAGAACGCUACUGCACUUGACUGUGUGGUGCGGUAUCCAGGACUUUUACUUUGAGGAAAUUAGAGUGUUUCAAGCAGGCGCACGCCUUGAAUACAUUAGCAUGGAAUAAUAAGAUAGGACCUUGGUACUAUUUUGUUGGUUUGCGUACCUAGGUAAUGAUUAAUAGGGACAGUUGGGGGUAUUCGUAUUCAAUUGUCAGAGGUGAAAUUCUUGGAUUUAUGGAAGACGAACUACUGCGAAAGCAUUUACCAAGGAUGUUUUCAUUAAUCAAGAACGAAAGUUAGGGAUCGAAGACGAUCAGAUACCAU